UACUUAAUGCAUUGGCUCUGUAGAACUGUCCUCGAGCAUAACCCAUCGGUUUAGGGUUUAGGUACUUGAUGCAUUGGCUCUGUAGAACUGUCCUCGAGCAAAACCCAUCGGUUUAGGGUUUAGGUGAUUCUAGGUGUAUUGCAAUGGCCCUUUUUUCAAAUGAAAGAGAAACAGUCCACAAACAAGUAGCUGCUGAAACAUCCCAUGCAGAAUGCAUACUUGGUCAUAUUCCCGAAUUUUGGAUUCUUAUGAUAUGUUUGACAGAUUUGCUUAUAUUUACCAUGUGAUUAUUCA
Long non-coding RNA from Rosa chinensis, 294 nucleotides. RefSeq lists it as uncharacterized. NCBI's taxonomy places the organism in Eukaryota, Viridiplantae, Streptophyta, Magnoliopsida, Rosales, Rosaceae. The record is from RefSeq and is a predicted model, not a curated record. The transcript has 2 exons.